ACAGUCCUUCAUCCGGUAAGGCGUAGCGAGCCGCCGGAACCCCGAGUCAUGGGCGGUUGUCAGUAAUGGCAAUGGUUAAGCGUUGACAGGGGAACGUAUAGGCUCUGCUUCUAAUAUAAAGAGGGAGCUCCGAAAUCAUUAUCGAGAACGCUGACCUUGUUGGGUGAGAGCACAAGCGCUUAAGGACAUCCAUAAUUUACUUCAGAUCUUUACUGUAGGUUUUAUGUUUGUUGGAAUCAUUGCCCG
Endozoicomonas sp. (ex Bugula neritina AB1) is the source of this 246-nucleotide non-coding RNA. The record is from Rfam. NCBI's taxonomy places the organism in Bacteria, Pseudomonadati, Pseudomonadota, Gammaproteobacteria, Oceanospirillales, Endozoicomonadaceae.